AGCGAACGCUGGCGGCAGGCCUAACACAUGCAAGUCGAACGAACUCUUCGGAGUUAGUGGCGGACGGGUGAGUAACACGUGGGAACGUGCCUUUUGGUUCGGAAUAACUCAGGGAAACUUGUGCUAAUACCGAAUGUGCCCUUCGGGGGAAAGAUGUAUGGCCAUUUGAGCGGCGCGCGUCUGAUUAGCUAGUUGGGGAGGUAACCGCUCGGCAAGGCGACGUUCAGUAGCUGGUCUGAGAGGAUGACAAUCCACACUGGGACUGAGACACGGCCCAGACUCCGAGGGGAGGGAGCAGUGGGUAAUAUAGCGCAAUGGGCGAAAGCGUGACGCAGCCAUGUCGGGUAAAUGAGGAAGGUCUUAGGAUUGUAAAAUUCUUUCACCGGGGACGAUAAUGACGGUACCCGGAGAAGAAGCCCCGGCUAACUUCGUG
Molecule: ribosomal RNA, 433 nt
Filed under: uncultured bacterium
Lineage: Bacteria
Description: partial 16S ribosomal RNA
Rfam family: Bacterial small subunit ribosomal RNA
Source: RNAcentral